GAAGCCAAAGGAAGGAAUUGAAACCUUCUCCAAUCUGAUCCUCUUCAAAUUGGAUAUAGUACCAAGAAAUGGGAAAUUUCUUAUUUCAGUAGGAAAGAAACCAUAUUUUGUGACAAUCAAAACCUUUAAUUUUUUCAUUUUUCCUAAGAAAUCGGGUAAACUGUAGGUCUUUGUGCGACAGUUCAGAACCAAAACCUCAACUUCAGGUGCUUGUAUGUUGCACCAAUUUGAUGAAAACUUUUCAUCUGCAAACAGUGCCCAGUAUGGUGUGAGACAUCAGUGCAUAGAAGAUAAACUAGUAACUGUAUAUCUUAUAGCAUGCCUCUGUGUGUGGGUGCAUUAUGUGCUAGACAAAGGAAAUGAAUAACCUGUGGAGAUGGACAAGAGGCGGCCGCCUACGCUAGGCUGCUUUUGCUCCAUGCACCAGUCGGGAACAUUGUUGGCUCUUAUCUCUAUGAUUAGUCUUUUUGUCUUUUCAAAGGAUUCUAAGCUACUCUGACGGAUGGCUAGUUCUCUGAGAAGAUCAUGCUGCAUAACCAAGUGCUUAUUAUAGUAGCCACUUGCAUCUUUCCUUGCAACACAAAGAUCAAUUAAAUUCCUGUUGGAAAGUUCAUGGAGGUUGGCAAUGGCAUGUACACCAUCUUCAUCUAGUUCAUACAGUUCUGCCCACAUAUCAAUGAGGGCAGUGGCAGGGAUUCUUUGGUCUUCAGGAAAUGAACACAGGUCCAUAAAACAUUCCUUGACAAUAAUUUUGUUAUCCAAGGCAUCCAAACUACUUUGGAGACAAUUGAUUAGUUCAUCAUCUUCAAAAAUAGUACCGUGUUUUGACAAUUCCAUUUCUUUUCUUUUCCAGAUUUCCUCAGGCUCUCCGCAAAGAGAUCUGCCAACCACUUUAAGAGCUAGAGGAAAACCCUUGCACCCUUUCACUAUCUUUUUCACAACGUCUUCAUCAAUAUUAGAGCUCUUAUCCUGAAGGAAAGCAGAGUUACAGAAAACAGUCAUGGCAUCUUUAUCAUUCAGUGGUUUCAGCUUAUAUGAUGAACCAAAUCUUCGCAAUGAAGAUCUUGAUGUUACCAAAAUCUUGUAAUUUGGGAUUUGGAAGUUGAACUUAUCAAGAAGGGAAUCCGAUUCAGGCCAAAUAUCAUCCAGGAUUAAUAAUAUAGCACUUGGUGCUAGGCUUUUCAAAAAUUGUUCCAAGUGGUAGACUAAAUGUUCAUCUGUUUGAGACUGAGGCACCUCAUAACCCUUGUGCUGAAAUAGUCUCUGUACAAUGCUCUCCAAGGUUGGUUUUCUCGACACAAUUACAAAGAAGAUAUUAUCACCAAAUUUCUCUUUAACUUCUUUAUCAUGACAAAGUAGUUUAGCCAAAGUGGUCUUUCCACAACCUGGAGGAGCAGACAACACAACCAUGGACACUUUAUCAUUGAACAGCUCCAUCUUCAAUUCCCUUAAUGGCACCUCUAAUCCUAUAGGAUUUAUCAGUGGCUCGGGCAGCACCAAUGGAGCAAUAUAUCCAUUCACAUUAUGCGCCCUACUAGUCUUCACAUUCAAAUCUAAUCGCUUCAAAUCCAUACGCAGAUCUUUUACCUCCAACAAAGUUUCCUUGCCAUCUCUUGCUUGUUGGGCUUGCAUAACAAUCUCGAAGAAAGACUUGAGUGACUUUUCUAACUUGAUAAGCUUGCCUGCGUAUUUAGGCCUUUUCCAACAGGCCAACCAGUGUAUUCCUGAGCAUUCAAGAACGAGUUCUUCACCUUUCUUGAUUUGUUCCAUUAUUUGACCCAUUUCCUGUUUUGGACGAUCCAAUACUUUGUUGAGCUCUUCGAUUUCUUUAAUCACAGGAAUUAUGGAUUUAAGUGUGGAUUCCAUGCGCUUCAAGAUGGUGUUGAACAUAAGGGCUCUGUUUCUGGCUUUCACAACUGCUUUUAACAACUCUCCAAAUGCUGCUCCCAGUGCAGCCCCACCAACUAAUGCAGCUGCCAUCACAAAUUCUGGUUUUGUGCAGAUGAUGACAAGUCCCAGAGGGGCCAGAACUCGC
This 2035-nucleotide unclassified non-coding RNA is filed under the name Hevea brasiliensis (rubber tree). Lineage: Eukaryota; Viridiplantae; Streptophyta; Magnoliopsida; Malpighiales; Euphorbiaceae. The record is from RNAcentral.